GAAGGUGGCAAGCGUUGUUCGGGAUUUACUGGGGCGUAAAGGGGAGCGUAGGGCGGGUUUGGGUAAGCCCUUCGGGAAAUCUCCCGGCUUAACCGGGAAAGGUCGGAGGGGACUGCCCAGGCUAGAGGAUGGGAGAGGAGCGCGGAAUACCCGGUGUAGCGGUGAAAUGCGUAGAGAUCGGGAGGAAGGCCGGUGGCGAAGGCGGCGCUCUGGAACAUUCCUGACGCUGAGGCUCGAAAGCGUGGGGAGCAAACAGGAUUAGAUACCCUGGUAGUCCACGCCCUAAACGAUGGACACUAAGUGUCGGCGGGUUACCGCCGGUGCCGCAGCUAACGCAGUAAGUGUCCCGCCUGGGGAGUACGGCCGCAAGGUUG
Molecule: ribosomal RNA, 374 nt
Filed under: uncultured organism
Description: partial 16S ribosomal RNA
Rfam family: Bacterial small subunit ribosomal RNA
Source: RNAcentral